AGAGUUUGAUCCUGGCUCAGAUUGAACGCUGGCGGCAUGCCUAACACAUGCAAGUCGAACGGUAACGCGGAGAGCUUGCUCUCUGGCGGCGAGUGGCGGACGGGUGAGUAACGCGUAGAAAUCUGCCUAGUAGUGGGGGACAACCUGGAGAAAUCCAGGCUAAUACCGCAUACGCCCUACGGGGGAAAGCGGGGGAUCUUCGGACCUCGCGCUAUUAGAUGAGUCUGCGUCGGAUUAGCUAGUUGGUGAGGUAAAGGCUCACCAAGGCGACGAUCCGUAGCUGGUCUGAGAGGAUGAUCAGCCACACCGGGACUGAGACACGGCCCGGACUCCUACGGGAGGCAGCAGUGGGGAAUAUUGGACAAUGGGGGAAACCCUGAUCCAGCAAUGCCGCGUGUGUGAAGAAGGCCUCGGGUUGUAAAGCACUUUCAAUUGGGAAGAAAAGCAGUCGGUUAAUAACCGGCUGUCUUGACGUUACCUUUACAAGAAGCACCGGCUAACUCCGUGCCAGCAGCCGCGGUAAUACGGAGGGUGCAAGCGUUAAUCGGAAUUACUGGGCGUAAAGCGCGCGUAGGCGCUUUGUAAGUCAAAUGUGAAAGCCCCGGGCUUAACCUGGGAAUUGCAUUCGAUACUGCACGGCUAGAGUAUGGGAGAGGGAAGUGGAAUUUCCGGUGUAGCGGUGAAAUGCGUAGAUAUCGGAAGGAACACCAGUGGCGAAGGCGACUUCCUGGCCCAAUACUGACGCUCAGGUGCGAAAGCGUGGGGAGCAAACGGGAUUAGAUACCCUGGUAGUCCACGCCGUAAACGAUGAGAACUAGAUGUCGGGAGGGUUCAGCUUCUCGGUGUCGCAGCUAACGCAUUAAGUUCUCCGCCUGGGGAGUACGCCGGCAACGGUAAAACUCAAAGGAAUUGACGGGGACCCGCACAAGCGGUGGAGCAUGUGGUUUAAUUCGAUGCAACGCGAAGAACCUUACCUGCCCUUGACAUACUCGGAACUUUCCAGAGAUGGAUUGGUGCCUUCGGGAACCGAGAUACAGGUGCUGCAUGGCUGUCGUCAGCUCGUGUCGUGAGAUGUUGGGUUAAGUCCCGCAACGAGCGCAACCCUUGUCCCUAGUUGCCAGCGGUUCGGCCGGGAACUCUAGGGAGACCGCCAGCGACAAGCUGGAGGAAGGUGGGGACGACGUCAAGUCAUCAUGGCCCUUAUGGGCAGGGCUACACACGUGCUACAAUGGCCGGUACAGACGGUUGCUAACCCGCAAGGGGGAGCCAAUCCGAGAAAGCCGGUCGUAGUCCGGAUCGGGGUCUGCAACUCGACCCCGUGAAGUCGGAAUCGCUAGUAAUCGCGAAUCAGCAACGUCGCGGUGAAUACGUUCCCGGGUCUUGUACACACCGCCCGUCACACCAUGGAAGUUGGUUGCACCAGAAGUAGGUAGCCUAACCUUAGGGAGGGCGCUUACCACGGUGUGGCUAAUGACUGGGGUGAAGUCGUAACAAGGUA
Molecule: ribosomal RNA, 1498 nt
Filed under: metagenome
Description: bacterial SSU rRNA
Rfam family: Bacterial small subunit ribosomal RNA
Source: RNAcentral